This 604-nucleotide ribosomal RNA is filed under the name Papiliotrema laurentii. RNAcentral describes it as "eukaryotic LSU rRNA". It matches the Rfam family "Eukaryotic large subunit ribosomal RNA", at positions 55 to 648 of the family's 3401-position model. The record is from RNAcentral. Lineage: Eukaryota; Fungi; Basidiomycota; Tremellomycetes; Tremellales; Rhynchogastremaceae.
GGAAAAGAAACUAACAAGGAUUCCCCUAGUAACGGCGAGUGAACCGGGAAGAGCUCAAAUUUGAAAUCUGGCGUCCUCAGGGCGUCCGAGUUGUAAUCUAUAGAGGCGUUUUCCGUGCCGGACCGUGUCCAAGUUCCUUGGAACAGGAUAUCAAAGAGGGUGACAAUCCCGUACUUGACACGACGACCGGUGCUCUGUGAUACGUCUUCUACGAGUCGAGUUGUUUGGGAAUGCAGCUCAAAAUGGGUGGUGAGUUCCAUCUAAAGCUAAAUAUUGGCGAGAGACCGAUAGCGAACAAGUACCGUGAGGGAAAGAUGAAAAGCACUUUGGAAAGAGAGUUAAACAGUACGUGAAAUUGUUGAAAGGGAAACGAUUGAAGUCAGUCGUGACCGAGAGGCUCAGCCGGUUCUGCCGGUGUAUUCCCCUCGGUCGGGUCAACAUCAGUUUUGUCCGGUGGAUAAGGACGGUAGGAAGGUGGCACCCUCGGGUGUGUUAUAGCCUGCCGUCGCAUACAUCGGGUGAGACUGAGGAACGCAGCUCGCCUUUAUGGCCGGGGUUCGCCCACGUCCGAGCUUAGGAUGUUGACAUAAUGGCUUUAAACGAC